RNAcentral lists this non-coding RNA (170 nucleotides) under uncultured Paenibacillus sp. Lineage: Bacteria; Bacillati; Bacillota; Bacilli; Caryophanales; Paenibacillaceae. The record is from RNAcentral.
ACGGUGCUAUAUGCAGCCGUACUUAAUAGGGAAGACCGGUGAGAUACCGGCGCGGUCCCGCCACUGUAACAGAGAUGUAGCUUGCACUAUGCCACUGGUUCAUGAGAUGAACUGGGAAGGCGCAUAGCUUACGUAUCUUCCUCUGGAGCCAGGAGACCUGCCUGUUUUGA